This is a long non-coding RNA of Electrophorus electricus (electric eel), 521 nucleotides long. RefSeq lists it as uncharacterized. The record is from RefSeq and is a predicted model, not a curated record. NCBI's taxonomy places the organism in Eukaryota, Metazoa, Chordata, Actinopteri, Gymnotiformes, Gymnotidae.
CGCCUCGGUCGUUUAUUGGCCAUGGAACAAUCUAUAGCAGGAAAUAUAAAAAAGGGUCUGAACAAAAGAUUGCACGUAAUUGCCUUGACAUUUUUGCAUUAUAACCAGCUCCAUGAUGUUUGACUACGUGUGAUCAAUUCGUGUGUUUACACUGGAGUCUGAGUCUGUUGUUCCUCGUUUACUGCUCGGGAGAGAGCAGCUUCGGCCUUCACGAUUGAGCAGCUUUUCUCUACAGCGCCACCCCAGCCCUGGCGCCGAAGUACACGGUCGCCACAGAUGGUGAUGCAAGAAAUGUGAACAUCGAGCAUUUCGGACCUUUCCGCAUCUGCAUUAGGCAAGAACCAGAUCUUAGCAAGUGUCACGGUGUCGUUGCGACUUAACGCACUCGCUGAAUAGCUUCUGAUGUAAAAUGGGCUUUAAUGUGAGGCAAUGGUACUGCUAUGCCUUUUAUUUGGAGCUGAAGCCCCCUCUAAAGGCUUUUAUUCCCGCAAAUAAAUGUACAUUAUUAGUUAUAUCGCAAA